GCAAACUUGGUCAUUUAGAGGAAGUAAAAGUCGUAACAAGGUUUCCGUAGGUGAACCUGCGGAAGGAUCAUUAAAAAAAUUAUAUAUCCAUACCCAACCUUGUGUGCACUCACUGACCGUUCGCUUUGGCAGGAGGAGUCUUGGGAUCGAACUAUAUAUAUGUUUGAUUCCAAGCGGGGGGAGAGAGAGAGGGACACACUCUCUCUCUUUCUCUCUCGGCCUGCCGGAGUUUUUAAAACAAUCAAACCUUUUUUUUGUUAAUUCUAUUUUUGGACUGAAACCUCGUCUCGAUUCUCUGUAAUCGAUCGAAUCAAAUACAACUUUCAACAACGGAUCUCUUGGCUCUCGCAUCGAUGAAGAACGCAGC
RNAcentral lists this unclassified non-coding RNA (367 nucleotides) under uncultured fungus. RNAcentral's name for it is "partial contains small subunit ribosomal RNA, internal transcribed spacer 1, and 5.8S ribosomal RNA". The stretch from base 1 to 73 matches the Rfam family "Eukaryotic small subunit ribosomal RNA", at positions 1759 to 1831 of the family's 1831-position model. The record is from RNAcentral. Lineage: Eukaryota; Fungi.